ACUUUCGAUGGUAGGAUAGAGGCCUACCAUGGUGGUAACGGGUAACGGGGUGUUAGGGCACGACACCGGAGAGGGAGCCUGAGAAACGGCUACCACAUCCAAGGAUGGCAGCAGGCGCGCAAAUUACCCAAUCCCGACACGGGGAGGUAGUGACAAUAAAUAACAAUACGGGGUUCUUUAGGAUCUCGUAAUUGGAAUGAGUACAAUUUAAAUCUCUUAACGAGGAACAAUUGGAGGGCAAGUCUGGUGCCAGCAGCCGCGGUAAUUCCAGCUCCAAUAGCGUAUAUUAAAGUUGUUGCAGUUAAAAAGCUCGUAGUUGAAUUUCGGGGUUAGUAGGUUGGUCAUGCCUCUGGUAUGUACUGGUCUCACUGAUUCCUCCUUCCUGAUGAGCCGUAAUGCCAUUAAUUUGGUGUUGCGGGGAAUUUGGACUGUUACUUUGAAAAAUUUAGAGUGUUUAAAGCAGGCUAACGCUUGAAUACAUUAGCAUGGAAUAAUGAAAUAGGACGUUCGAUCCUAUUUUGUUGGUUUCUAGGAUUGACGUAAUGAUUAAUAGGGAUAGUUGGGGGCAUUAGUAUUCAAUUGUCAGAGGUGAAAUUCUUGGAUUUAUUGAAGACUAUCUACUGCGAAAGCAUUUGCCAAGGAUGUUUUCAUUAAUCAAGAACGAAAGUUAGGGGAUCGAAGACGAUCAGAUACCGUCGUAGUCUUAACCAUAAACUAUGCCGACUAGGGAUCGGAUGAUGUUAAUUUUUUAAUGACUCAUUCGGCGCCUUACGGGAAACCAAAGUGUUUGGGUUC
RNAcentral lists this ribosomal RNA (795 nucleotides) under uncultured Glomus. RNAcentral's name for it is "SSU rRNA". It matches the Rfam family "Eukaryotic small subunit ribosomal RNA", at positions 318 to 1114 of the family's 1831-position model. Lineage: Eukaryota; Fungi; Glomeromycota; Glomeromycetes; Glomerales; Glomeraceae. The record is from RNAcentral.